UCUACUUUAGUUGACACGCCAAAUAUAUCGUCAUGCAGUUCUCCACAAACAGGUUGAUUAUUUAUUCAUAAAAACGCUUCAGUUGGUGUCGUUUGUGUUUAACCAUUUAAUAACAUUUUGUUAGAGGGUGUACUAUUAUUUUUAGAAUUUUAGGGGACUGAGAACAAAGUUGAAUAAUUUCAAAUUAAGUACUGAAGGAGAAAACUAUGACCUAAUACUGGGGACAAAAACAUGGUUGAAUGCAUCAAUAUACAGUUCUGAAUUCAUUAACUGUAACAGGUAUGAGAUAGUUAGAUGCGAUAGUGAUCCGCAUACAACGAAUAAAGACAGGGGAGGAGGAGUUAUGAUAGGGGUGAUGUUGAAACCCGUCUCACAAUCGAUGAAGUAACCGACAGCGAUUAUUUUGAAGCUUUAAAGAAACUUAAGCCAAAAAAAUCUGCAGGAAGUGAUA
Leptinotarsa decemlineata (Colorado potato beetle) is the source of this 451-nucleotide long non-coding RNA. Lineage: Eukaryota; Metazoa; Arthropoda; Insecta; Coleoptera; Chrysomelidae. The record is from RefSeq and is a predicted model, not a curated record.